This 402-nucleotide ribosomal RNA is filed under the name uncultured eukaryote. Its description in RNAcentral is "bacterial SSU rRNA". It matches the Rfam family "Eukaryotic small subunit ribosomal RNA", at positions 14 to 393 of the family's 1831-position model. The record is from RNAcentral.
CUGCCAGUCAUAUAUGCUUGUCUCGAAGAUUAAGCCAUGCAUGUCUAAGUACGAACAACUCGUAUUUGUGAAACUGCGAAGAGCUCAUUAAAACAGUCAUAAUCUAAUUGAUCAUCGCUACUACUAGGAUAACCGUAGUAAUUCUAGAGCUAAUACUUGCAACAACCACUGACUCUAUUUUCGAAUGAGAAAGUGUGUAUUUAUUAGAUUCAAACAUCAACUUCCAUCAGCAAUGGUGGAACCUUAUUCUUGAUGAAACUAGAUGACUAACCGAUCGUAUGGCCUUGAGCCGACGACAGAUCACUAUGGAUUUCUGAUCUAUCAACUUUGGACUGCGAUGUCGUGGACCGCAGUGGUGUUGACGGGUAACGGAGAAUCGUAUGGUUCGAUUCCGGAGAGGGG